This 80-nucleotide transfer RNA is filed under the name Cordylochernes scorpioides. Its description in RNAcentral is "tRNA-Thr". The record is from RNAcentral. Lineage: Eukaryota; Metazoa; Arthropoda; Arachnida; Pseudoscorpiones; Chernetidae.
UAAAAGUGUCCAGGGGCGGGAAUCGAACCCACAACCUUCUGCUUACCGGGCAGAUGCCAUGUCCACUAGGCUACCCUGUU